AGUUUGGAGAAUUCAUUUAUUUAGAUUGCAAAUCUAAGGUUUAUGUGGAUUUCGCAU
Molecule: transfer RNA, 57 nt
Filed under: Demodex brevis
Lineage: Eukaryota; Metazoa; Arthropoda; Arachnida; Trombidiformes; Demodicidae
Description: tRNA-Cys
Source: RNAcentral